CUUGGUCAUUUAGAGGAAGUAAAAGUCGUAACAAGGUUUCCGUAGGUGAACCUGCGGAAGGAUCAUUACCGAGUGAGGGCCCUCUGGGUCCAACCUCCCACCCGUGUUUAUUUUACCUUGUUGCUUCGGCGGGCCCGCCUUUACUGGCCGCCGGGGGGCUCACGCUCCCGGGCCCGCGCCCGCCGAAGACACCCCCGAACUCUGUCUGAAGAUUGCAGUCUGAGUGAAAACGAAAUUAUUUAAAACUUUCAACAACGGAUCUCUUGGUUCCGGCAUCGAUGAAGAACGCAGCGAAAUGCGAUACGUAAUGUGAAUUGCAAAUUCAGUGAAUCAUCGAGUCUUUGAACGCACAUUGCGCCCCCUGGUAUUCCGGGGGGCAUGCCUGUCCGAGCGUCAUUGCUGCCCUCAAGCCCGGCUUGUGUGUUGGGCCCCGUCCCCCGAUCCCGGGGGACGGGCCCGAAAGGCAGCGGCGGCACCGCGUCCGGUCCUCGAGCGUAUGGGGCUUUGUCACCCGCUCCGUAGGCCCGGCCGGCGCCUGCCGAUCAACCCCAAAUUUUUAAUCCAGGUUGACCUCGGAUCAGGUAGGGAUACCCGCUGAACUUAAGCAUAUCAAUAAGCGGAGGA
This 624-nucleotide ribosomal RNA is filed under the name uncultured fungus. RNAcentral's name for it is "eukaryotic LSU rRNA". The stretch from base 244 to 396 matches the Rfam family "5.8S ribosomal RNA". The record is from RNAcentral. Lineage: Eukaryota; Fungi.